Molecule: ribosomal RNA, 468 nt
Filed under: uncultured bacterium
Lineage: Bacteria
Description: partial 16S ribosomal RNA
Rfam family: Bacterial small subunit ribosomal RNA
Source: RNAcentral
GAUGAACGCUGGCGGCGUGCUUAACACAUGCAAGUCGAACGGAAAGGCCCAAGCUUGCUUGGGUACUCGAGUGGCGAACGGGUGAGUAACACGCGGGUGAUCUGCCCUGCACUUCGGGAUAAGCCUGGGAAACUGGGUCUAAUACCGGAUAGGACCACUUCUUGGAUGUUGUGGUGGAAAGUUUUUUCGGUGUGGGAUGAGCUCGCGGCCUAUCAGCUUGUUGGUGGGGUAAUGGCCUACCAAGGCGUCGACGGGUAGCCGGCCUGAGAGGGUGUACGGCCACAUUGGGACUGAGAUACGGCCCAGACUCCUACGGGAGGCAGCAGUGGGGAAUAUUGCACAAUGGGCGCAAGCCUGAUGCAGCGACGCCGCGUGGGGGAUGACGGCCUUCGGGUUGUAAACUCCUUUCGCUAGGGACGAAGCGUUUUUGUGACGGUACCUGGAGAAGAAGCACCGGCUAACUACGUG